This is a long non-coding RNA of Dendronephthya gigantea, 1163 nucleotides long. RefSeq lists it as uncharacterized. NCBI's taxonomy places the organism in Eukaryota, Metazoa, Cnidaria, Anthozoa, Malacalcyonacea, Nephtheidae. The record is from RefSeq and is a predicted model, not a curated record. The transcript has 4 exons.
UCUUUUUGGCGACGCCAUUGCAUGUGGGAUGAAAUAGAUUCCAUUGUCGAUUAAUUAAAUUUAUUUAAUCUGUGCAUGAUACGUGAUCGAAAGGUUCUACGUGACCGUGAAUUAACUUAAGCCUAAUUUAUGGGUGAAGAUUUAGAAUUACGUGUGGUGUGAUUUUUACAUUAUUUCUAUUGGCACAAUGGAAUCCUUAUAGUCUCGUUAGUCGUUUAUUAAUACCGCCCUAACAAAAAAUCUUUGCUCCUUAAAAAAUGCUUCAAAAAAGAUAUACAGCAUUGAUUUGUCACAUGAUAACGUAGAUCUUGGGAAAUGGAAAAUAGGUAAUCAAUAUAGAAAUAUUUAUCCGUGAAUAUCUUUUGUAUCAUCCAUUGAAUCAUCAGUCUUACGUAUAUACACGUAGCUACGAUACUGCGCGCCAACUAAUUGCCGGGAGUUUGAACCUAAAAGCGGUCUAUACACCUUCGUUUUACCUAACAACUCGCCCCUGCAUUUAACGCCUGAUGCCGUAAUGGAGAUAGUGUAUAAAUAGUGGAGACCUUCACCUUGUACUAAAUAGAAAUCGUGGGUUUAAAUUAUUAAAAAGGAACCUGCUGUCAAGAAUUAAAAUGCGUAACUUUUCAUGUCAAUAUUGAAAAAAUAUAUCAGUGAAACAAAAUUUUUAAGAAUAUUUAACACUGAUAAUUUUUACAAAAAACUUAUACUACCCUAUUUAGUACUGUACGACGCGGGAGACGUUUUAACGAGAACACUGAACAGCCACAAGUGCUAAUAGAAUUUAGUCAUGUUUUUUAUUAGUUUUGGUUUUAAAAUAAAACACAGCUGUCAUGUAAAUAUGAAUAUUUUUUAUUUUGAUAAAAACGUGGUCGGGUACCGACAUGAAGCAAUUAUAACUAAAAUUGCCCUGUUUUUUAAACUGUCGUACUAAAGACACCGUAGUUAAGCUUUUUCAUCACUGUAUUGGGAGAAAUUCGAUCUAGCUUGUGGACAACAAAAGACCCAAAUUCUAAAACAGCUAAAACUUUGCGAAAGCGAAAGACUCUGAUUUUUGUCUCAAAGGGCCUGCGGAGGAGAUUGAUCUAGAAAAAUACUGCAAGAAAAAAAUUGCAGGAAGGUACAAAUUUCAGCAGUGAUGCUUCAUGCCAUUGACAAUGAAUAAA